UACGGGGGGGGCAAGCGUUGUUCGGAAUUACUGGGCGUAAAGGGUUCGUAGGCGGCCAACUAAGUCGGACGUGAAAUCCCUCGGCUUAACCGGGGAACUGCGUCCGAUACUGGAUGGCUUGAGUUUGGGAGAGGGAUGCGGAAUUCCAGGUGUAGCGGUGAAAUGCGUAGAUAUCUGGAGGAACACCGGUGGCGAAGGCGGCAUCCUGGACCAACACUGACGCUGAGGAGCGAAAGCCAGGGGAGCAAACGGG
RNAcentral lists this ribosomal RNA (253 nucleotides) under uncultured bacterium. RNAcentral's name for it is "partial 16S ribosomal RNA". It matches the Rfam family "Bacterial small subunit ribosomal RNA", at positions 524 to 776 of the family's 1533-position model. The record is from RNAcentral.